CUGGAUUCUUCAAAUCAAGUUUCUGACUACUGACCUCAUGAGACUUUGCAGGUUGCAUUAUGCAGAUUCGGGACACACUGGCGUUAUUUGGCCAGGUUAUAGUUGUGUGUGUUUAGCAGACUGUCAGUGGAAACCAGGCAAUGAAAGGAUUAACUGUCAGACUUCUGAAAACUACAAGCAAGGCUUUCUUGCUGCAGGUCAGAGACUGGAAUAAGGUGUCAUUCAGACUGGAGCUUCUUUCAAGGUUAUUUAAAAAAUGCACAAGCUGUUGGAUUUGGGAUGAGACCAGCCUGACCAACGCAAGGUGAAAAAGAAAAAG
This 319-nucleotide long non-coding RNA is filed under the name Anser brachyrhynchus (Pink-footed goose). RNAcentral describes it as "lncRNA (ENSABRG00000007350.1)". The record is from RNAcentral. Lineage: Eukaryota; Metazoa; Chordata; Aves; Anseriformes; Anatidae.